This is a long non-coding RNA of Columba livia (rock pigeon), 5298 nucleotides long. RefSeq lists it as uncharacterized. The transcript is spliced from 3 exons. The record is from RefSeq and is a predicted model, not a curated record. NCBI's taxonomy places the organism in Eukaryota, Metazoa, Chordata, Aves, Columbiformes, Columbidae.
AGAUAAGGCAGAAACCAACAGCUCUGUUACUGUGUGCCGCAGGAGAUUACUUCAGCCACUUCGUCCCUCCUUCCUCUCCUUCCUCCCCGCCUCCUGCUUGAGGAAGCUCAGGAGGGCUGGGGUGAUCCAGUGAGCAGUUUGGAAGAAGAAAGGAACUGCUUUGUUGGUGGGGAUGGCCAGAGCACCCUGCUUGCACUCCGGCUCCUGCCAACAGGGGAUUAGGUGGCAUGAUGGUGACUCUGAUAGAACUACGCCUGUAACAAGGGAAUUCUCCGCUGGUGGUGCUUUGCUGCUGCUGUGGUUAAUGCUUGAGGAAUACACAGUUUAGAGAAUACAUCCUUCUUCAUUAUCUCAGUAAAGAAAUGAGCCAACAAUGGUAAAAAUGAAAGAAGAAGAAAGAAGAAGAAAAGAAAUAAAAGAAAAAAGAAAGAAGAAAGAAAAAAGAAAAUGUCCUACUCCAGAAGUAUUCUUUUCUGUUUUCUUAUGUCUCAUUUAAAAUACCUGAGGAAAUUAUUUGCUCACCUGUGCACACUUGAAAAUCACUCUGAUGCUUCUGAAUGGACCAAAAUACUGGUGCAAAAAUCAUCAAUAAUGGAGGACGCUGACACAGUCUGACACUGAUGCAUUGCAGCAUCUCCUGAGGAGAUAUUGUGAUGCAUUUCAUCCCUGUAUGAGGAAAAUGUUUUGAUGUUAAUAUGGGCAUAACCUACAAUAUGAAUUUAAAUAAAUCACGGAACUGUUACUGUGUAUAUAUAAUAGAUAAUUUAGUCUUACAACAUUAAUAAUACAGCAACUUCAUUUUCUUUUCACAUUUUCACACAAUAUAAGCAAAUUGAGAGCAUUGACUUCAGUGUUAAAUAUUCAUUCUGAGGCAAGGAGAUGCAGUAAUACAAUUUCUUUUACUAUUUAUGGGAACUGAUGUGGUUAACCCCUAUUCAGAUGUCAUGAUUAAUUUACUUUUGUAUUCCUGAAAUUAUGAUUUUUACUAUAGAAGGGCUGAAGACUACUAUUAGUUGAACUGAAAAGAAGAAGAAUUACACGUCUUCACUUAGAGGUAAAAACCUUUUUGAGAAAAAUUUGUUUUGACAUUUUCAAGGAGGUUCUGGAACCAAGUAAAUAUUAAAUAAUAGGCCAUGUUAGCUGAAUUUCUUGUGUUCAAUUUUAUAUUUUCUACUUAUUUUCUAGAAAAUAUGUAACCUUUCCUACCAGUUUUCAUAAGACAGGAAUGUCUGGUUGUAAAAUCUGGUCCUUAUAUGUGAUGGUUUGAGGUUGAAUUGAAAUGUUAAAAUCUUUUCACCUGUUUUUUGUGAAUCAUCCCCAAUGGCAAUUUUUUUUUUUUUUUUCCAAAGAUCUAGAGCAGACAGGUAUGGAAGAGGCAGCUCUGCUACAGUUAAAUCUCUUGCUUCCUUUUAUUUCCCUCCCUAACCCCCAUCAGCCAUUGGGCCUUAUAACUUGUAUAACUGUUCCACUGAGGACUUGCAUGCUUUGGAACCCAAACAUUUGCUAAGUGUCUAGAUUCAGUAGAGAGCAUAGGCUGGCUUUUAGCUGUAUUUCAUCUCUUCUUACCAAGAAGGACAGGGAAUGACCUAAUUCCACCUGAGUGCCAUAUCUAUUAAACAUGCUUUGUUCUUAAUACAAGCUGCACUGAACGCAGUGACAAAUCCACCUCAACAUGGGGUCAUAGGAAGAGGGAGCAGUCCUGUCAUGGAGCAAAGCUGUGGCUGGACUCCUCAUUCAAGAAGUGGGUCUUGGUUGUCCUAAGUAAGUUUAGCUCAAAGUCCUGCUUAGGAGCAAGACUGGGAUAGGGUUUUCCCCUCUUGUCACUGGAAGUUUCUGAUUAAAGAACUCAGAAGGAAUAAAUAUGAGGGAAACUGACUCUAUCCUCAGAAGGGCUCAUGAUCUCAGAGACUGGGCUGUGUCCUAGCCCAGAUUAUGAAAGAAGAGAGCUGUUUCUCUCAGCACUCUGAACCUUGAUCUGAACCAUGCAGGAGAUGCCUGCUCCAUCAGGCCCUGUGGCCUGGAGCAGGGAUCUUUGCUGGAGCAUGCUGUGGCUCUCCUCUGGCCACAUCCAUCAGCUUUCUCCCAGAGCAUGGGGUCAGAAUGUCAGUGAUCCUUAGGUUUUUCUUUGUCAAAGAGUCAGGCAUUGAGACCUGCUCUUGGGAGGUGUAGGGAGCUGAAGCUGGUUUAGGUAUGCAUGUCAGCCCUGAAGAUGCUUCUUUUGCUGUUACAGUAUUUCCAUUAGGUACUUACAAUGGCCAGUCUUAAUAUAAUCCACAGCAAAAGGAAAAGCCUUAAACUAAGGUUUAGAAAUGUAUUUUCUUACCUUGAACUAAAGUUUAGAAAUAUAUUUUCUUACCUCUGUUUAGCAUUUCUUUAUGGCCUGUCUGAGCUUUCUUGUUGAAUAGAAGUGUUUUAUAUUGAUUCAGCACAGAAAUCAAUUAGGAGGGCUCACACAAUCUAUGCCAUUGACUCAGCUCCACUGGAGAAAUGCACACUUGAGCAAUGCCAAUGAAUAGGUGGAAUUGUUAACUUCUAAGCUGCAUAAGCUGUCUGCUUAUCAUGUGAAUUAACUCUUUACAUCCACACAGCAUGAUAGUAUUUAAAGGAAUAAAGGUCUAUAUAGUGUUCUUAAAAAUUAUCAGUAUUUUUCUUGAAGGAUACAAAUUUGUCAUUUGCCGCAAGUGCCAGAAUAAUAAAACCGUACUAUGUUAUCACACGUGCACAAAAAAAAAGCAGGAAAAGUGGUGAGGUUCCUGACACACAUGUUUUAUAUUUCUUUUCUAUGUCUGUGCCUCUGUGGAGGAGUUUUGCAUGUGUGGGAGAUGACAGAAAUACAAUAUAAUGUUCAGCUGAAGGGCCAUGGCCAAAAGAAAGGAACAUCACAGAAAUAAAAUACAAAGAUUAAUGGUAGCAGAAGGAUGGAAAAGUUUAUCUCACUAUCAUUAUUGUAGUAAAACAUAGAGCAUUUUUCUUUCAGUUUUCUGUUUCUGAAGGCAGGGAUGGUAACUCAUUCCCUAGCCACUGUCACACUGAAUAAAAUGUUUCUUUUAUCAACUUCAGAGCCAGCCAAUAUACCUCUUGUAAACUUGCUUCUUCUUUGUGUUCUCAAAUGACACCACUGUGGUGCACAAAAUUAUUUUCCAAAACAGUGACUUCUGAGAAGAUCAAGUAGAAGGUGCUUUUUGCAAGUUAAGAUCAAUUCAGCUGUCUUUUUGUAAGCUAUUUCAAACUCAUCCAUUGAAAAGCAUGCUUUUGGAAAAAUUAUCUUUUUUUUUUAAUAAAGACUUAGUUAAAAUAUCAAUUGUGAUGGCUUGAUCCGCCUUAAAAAAGUAUUUGUCAGGCAAAGCUAGACUGUGGGCCAUCUUCCAUUUGAUUUAGUUUGGGAAUUCUAUUAUGUAUAUUUACCCUAAGUGAGGGAGUAAAUUGGAUUUGCCCCAUGAGCUUUAGAUUAGACCUCUCAAAAAUUUAUACGCGUAGUUGGACCAUGUAAGCCUCACUUUUCAGUUCCCUUUUGCAAAACUGUCUGCAGUUUUCCAAACACAUCAACUCCAAUAAAAAUGCCUGAACAGUGUCUCAGUAUUCGUAUGUAAAUCAGAAGGCUAUGCCUCUGAAUUCUAUCAUUUGAUUGCUUAUGAUAGCUAGUAAAGUAACCUAGAGAUAGAAUAUUUUUUUUACUUAAGUUUGUUCUUGGUUUUAGUAAUGUAGGUAUUUAAAGUUAUCUACCUUUUUUUCAUUACACAAGGACAUAAGACUUCUUUGUCAGCGAUGAAUUUAAUUGAGGGAGUAUAACUACAUUAGGUAUAGGAGACAGAACAUUUAAAUCUCUUAAACUGUUUGAAUGUCCAGUUUUAUUUGGUUUUAUGGUCUAUACCACUGCAACACCAUUCAAAUCUCAAAUUACUGUAAUUCCACCAAUCUGAAAAAUUACAACAGACAAAAGGGGGAUUUCAGUAGUUGUGGCUGAAUCUCUGAACUUUGUGAAUGGAAAACUAAAUUUAAAAUUCUUCAUGUCACCAUGUUAAGUUGUAUUUUCACGGAAGAUUCCAAAUGUGGUGGACAGUUUUCAUCAUGGUAAAGAGAAUGGCUGCCAUUCCAGGUCAGUAUGUGGUAAACCCAUAGAAAAGUCCUAUUAAGUUGUCUCUUGAAAAAUGGAAAGUAAAAAUGAGUUUUACUGUAUAUUUUUUUCUUAUAUUAUAUUUAGAGAUACUCAUAAAAAUUAGUCUUAAGAAGUGGUACCUAAGUUGCUACACUGAUUUCCAAUGAUAAAUUUGUGCUAUGCUGUCAGAUCUUGGGUAUCAGGGUGCACUUGACCAGGCAAUUCUUAUACCCCCAGAGCAGAUAGAACUUUGGGAGAUGAUUUUAAUAGUUUCCUCUUGCAUUAAAAUAUGAGUCUUUAAGUUAUAUAUUCGUUUGCUGUCAAAAAACCCCUACCAAAACCCAAAAUAAAAGAGAGUGAACAUCUGACUGUACUCCCAGCUAUUAGUGGACCAGAGAUACAUUGUAUAGUAAGGUUUAGUUAUUAAAAGAAGUGCAUACAAAUAAUAGGAUAUAAUUUAUUCCAUUUGAUUCUCCGAAAAUCAUGACUGAUGGCAAUUCCGAACACUCACUUUUCCUUCUAGUGAGCAUGCUCAAAUGCUUCCAGUUUCUAAAGCAUUGUUUUAAAAACAAACAAUAGGAAAAAAGAAUAAAGAUCUAUUGGGUAAGACACUAAAUAAAAAUAGUUGACAAUAAAUCUUCCCCCUGCCUACUGAGUCCCUGCAACUUGGUACUUCACUUCAGUCUUGUUCCGUACUUGUCCUGGUUUUGUUAAAAACAAGUUUCUCUUUUAGUGAUUUUGCCUGUCAGCUAAAGCCUUCAUAUUAGCUGCAUUUUCCUGGAGAACCAGAUACAUGUUUUGGUAAACCUAGCAAUGGAAUGCAAACUUAUUGAUAAGCACGGAUGGACAUCUCGCGAGAGGGGCGAUGAGAAACAAGUGACCAAGAAACUGACCAACUGUGUAUAACAUUCCAUUCACGUCAAUACUUCAUAUAAAAGUGGGAGAUCACGAGGAUCUCGCCCCUUUUUUUCCCUUUUCCCUUCUGCUUAUGGCCGACAUUAGGAGAAGACCUUGCUGGUCGUCCCUGCAAACUGAGGCCUAGUGAGAGACUGAAUCCAGCUCCGGUUGGCUGCAGAGUCUAAUCCAGGACUUUGGUUGCUGGCUCUGCAGUUGCUGAGACUUUCAAGAUUGGUUUUGUAUAUUUUGUAUUAUUUUCUCUAUUCUUAUUAGUAGCAUUAGUAAAACAUUGUUAAUUUUUCUAA